GGCUGCCCCACGGGCCUCUCCCCUGGCCCAUGGUGUCCAGGCCAGCCUGGGUCACGGCACGGAGCCCAGCAGCCCUGGUGGGGACGUGCCACCCCAGGCAGUGUCCCCGACCCUCUGCUCAGACCUGAAGCACCGAGGCCCAAGCGCCAGUCCAUCCCUGUCCCAGAGUCUCCUGCUGCCCCCAGGCCACCUCCAACAGCAGCUCGAGGGCUCCCUCACAGGAUAAAAGAUGGCUGGGGACGGCCUCCGAGAGGCCAAGAGAGGCAGAGGUGAGGGCGCACUGCCCAGCCUGAGAGCCUGGGGCCGUCGCAUUCUGGGUCCCUCCCAGCCCUCCCCGGGGCGCAGCCCUGCGCUUCGGCCUUGCCAGUGACCUUGGUAAUGGCUGGGGGGGUCCCCCUGCAGAUGAGUCACCCUUGGCUUACCCAGCCCCCCCGCCCGCGCUUGUCCUGUGGGUCCGUGUCCCCAGCGAACAGAUCCGCAGGGCGGAAGAGUUAGUCCAAGAUACGCGCCUGUGUCAUCUGGGGACAUGGUCCCCAACGGGCCAGUCGACACUCCCAGCCGCUAGGAGGGCACCACUUCCCCACAGCCGCACAGUCAGCAGGUUCCCAAAAAUCACGGGUCCUGUGGUUGAGGCCACAGGGAGAAAUGGCCCCCCUGCUUGUGCUUGUUGCCCAGUACCAGUGAAACUGCCCACGGUCCGUGUCUUGCUGGCCUGGGCCUUGUCUUCAUCUAUUUUCUCUUUGGCACAGUAUGGCCGGCCUUUUUCUCAUUGGUUUGUAGGAGCUCUUUGUAUAUUAAGGAAAUUAGACUUUACCUACAGCCUGUGUUGUACAUCCAGUGUCCUCAUUCGCCGUUUAUUUGUUUACACACUUACUGACUUUGCACCUGGCAGUUGGUCUCAGGAGGGCCAGGGGCGUUUUGGCUGCUCAGACACUGUGUCCCUUCGCCCAGGUUUCCGUCCCCCACGCACACUGCCUCUAGGAGCCCACCCCAGCCAGAUCCUGGGGGAAAGCGACCUCGGGUCAGCCGCCGGUUGGCGCUGGUGUGGUCUCCGGAGCCCAGAGCC
This 1066-nucleotide long non-coding RNA is filed under the name Sus scrofa (pig). RNAcentral's name for it is "lncRNA (ENSSSCG00005029012.1)". The record is from RNAcentral. Lineage: Eukaryota; Metazoa; Chordata; Mammalia; Artiodactyla; Suidae.